CCACCCAAUCAAACAAUUGGAGAGGCCGUCUAACGAUGAAUAUAGAGCCGAUCCAACCAAAUCUUAGACUUUAGUCGUGAGUAAAUUGUCUUCUCUUAAUUUCAAGGGCUGGUGUUACAUUUUCACAUCUCUUCUUCCAUCAUUGCCACAACCAGUGCGUCUACCAGUGGUUAACAAUGGCGACAAUGCUACAACCCUUUCUUCAGCAACCCCCUUCUCUCACCCCAUUUCUUCAUGCGAAGACUCCAAUUUCUGAAUCCUCUUCUCGAUUCUCUCUCAAAUUCGGAAUCUUCGCAUGUCGCCAAACAUCUCCGUCUCCGUCUGUUUCUACUUCUCCUUCUCCCAUGGAUGUCGUCAAUGGCAACGCUGAUUUGAAUUCCGCUCCGCGUUCUCAAAUUCGCCUUGGUCUUCCUAGUAAAGGUCGCAUGGCUUCCGACACUCUUGACCUCCUUAAGGAUUGUCAAUUAUCGGUGAGGCAAGUGAAUCCUCGUCAAUAUGUUGCUCAAAUUCCUCAGCUUUCAAAUGUGGAAGUGUGGUUUCAACGGCCAAAAGAUAUUGUGAGGAAGCUGCUAUCUGGAGAUUUGGAUCUGGGAAUUGUAGGGUUUGAUACUCUAAGUGAGUAUGGACAGGGCAGUAAAGAUCUCGUUAUGGUUCACGAUGCUCUUGAUUAUGGGGAGUGCCACUUAUCACUUGCAAUUCCUAAGUAUGGCAUAUUUGAGAAUAUCAAUUCUUUGAAGGAGCUUGCUGCAAUGCCUCAAUGGACAGAAGACAAACCUCUGCGUGUUGCUACUGGCUUUACUUAUCUUGGUCCAAAGUUCAUGAGAGAAAAUGGGCUGAAGCAUGUUACAUUCUCAACUGCUGAUGGAGCACUCGAGGCAGCCCCCGCUAUGGGUAUCGCUGAUGCAAUCUUGGACCUUGUAAGUAGCGGUACAACCUUAAGAGAGAAUAAUUUGAAAGAGAUUGAAGGUGGUAUUGUGUUGCAGAGUCAGGCUGUGCUUGUUGCAAGCAGGAAAUCUUUGAUCCAGCGUGAUGAUGUUCUUGACACAACCCAUGAGAUAUUAGAAAGAUUUGAGGCGCACCUGAGGGCAGCUGGUCAAUUUACGGUGACGGCAAAUAUGCGGGGGAAAAGCGCAGAGGACGUUGCUCAGAGAAUACUUGGCCAAUCAUCUUUAUCUGGGCUACAGGGACCCACUAUUUCUCCUGUAUUCUGCAAAAGAAAUGGAAAAGUGUCAGCAGAUUAUUAUGCUAUAGUAAUAUGUGUUCCCAAAAAGGCCCUCUAUACGUCGGUUAAGCAGCUAAGAGCAGAUUAAAUUGCUUAAUGAGAUGGAGAAGCCUCGUGGGACCACAAAUCGCUUUGUAGCUAGAGAGAGCUAUAGCUUACACGUUGAUUCUGGAAUAUGUUAGAAUUAGAGCAAUCACUUCUAUUGGUGGCAGUGGAGUCCUGAUUUCACCGCUCACCUAUAUUUUCGAUGAAGAAACUCCAAGAUGGCGUGAACUGCUCACCAAACUUGGCCUCUAAUGAUCCACAAUUUUACUGUUUUGUGAGUUUUACGAGGUGAGUUGUGACCAAUGAAGACCGUUCCUAGAAAAGCUGAGCAUUUAGUAAAUUUUUGAGUCAUAUAUUUGUUUAAAAUCAAGUAUCCACUCUCGGCGUACCUUGUCCAAAGUGCAAAGGUGUUGACGAUAGGAUGUGUGAACUACUUGGUUGCACUGAGUGCUAUAUUUAGAUUGCUUUUGGAUACAAAAGGAAACUUGCAUAAAGUAGUAGCAAAGUCUCAUCUGUGUUUGAGAGCUGCGGAUUUUAAUUUGGUGUUUUUUUUGGUACUAAGGCUUUGUCAUGGUUGUAUUCGUGGUAACAAUAUACUAUUACGUAUGUGAUUUCUUCUUUUUUAAUUACAAGUUAGGUUGAGAGAAGGGGAGAAGAUGAAAAUUACACCCAGAACUUUCCCGAAAAGUGGUGCUUGUUCUCCAACUAAGACAAGAUCUAAUUCUCUACCUACUCCUGUGAUUUCCGAAUGCUUGAUUAUGAUUUUAAGUUUAAUGUAAAAAUUUUGCUUGGCAAAUUUGCAAUCA
This is an RNA transcript of Amaranthus tricolor (Joseph's coat), 2073 nucleotides long. It is a transcript of the gene named ATP phosphoribosyltransferase 1, chloroplastic-like, with no coding region annotated. The transcript is spliced from 12 exons. The record is from RefSeq and is a predicted model, not a curated record. Lineage: Eukaryota; Viridiplantae; Streptophyta; Magnoliopsida; Caryophyllales; Amaranthaceae.